RNAcentral lists this ribosomal RNA (252 nucleotides) under uncultured bacterium. RNAcentral describes it as "partial 16S ribosomal RNA". It matches the Rfam family "Bacterial small subunit ribosomal RNA", at positions 524 to 776 of the family's 1533-position model. The record is from RNAcentral.
UACGUAGGGUGCGAGCGUUAAUCGGAAUUACUGGGCGUAAAGCGUGCGCAGGCGGUUCGUUAAGUUCGUUGUGAAAGCCCCGGGCUCAACCUGGGAACUGCAAUGGAAACUGGCGGGCUUGAGUAUGGCAGAGGGGGGUGGAAUUCCGCGUGUAGCAGUGAAAUGCGUAGAGAUGCGGAGGAACACCGAUGGCGAAGGCAGCCCCUGGGCCAAUACUGACGCUCAGGCACGAAAGCGUGGGGAGCAAACAGG